This 497-nucleotide ribosomal RNA is filed under the name uncultured bacterium. RNAcentral describes it as "partial 16S ribosomal RNA". It matches the Rfam family "Bacterial small subunit ribosomal RNA", at positions 28 to 507 of the family's 1533-position model. The record is from RNAcentral.
GAUGAACGCUGGCGGCGUGCCUAAUACAUGCAAGUCGAGCGAACAGACGAGGAGCUUGCUCCUCUGCCGUUAGCGGCGUACGGGUGAGUAACCCGUGGAUAACCUACCUAUAAGACUGGGAUAACUUCGGGAAACCGGAGCUAAUACCGGAUAAUAUAUUGAACCGCAUGGUUCAAUAGUGAAAGACGGUUUUGCUGUCACUUAUAGAUGGAUCCGCGCCGCAUUAGCUAGUUGGUAAGGUAACGGCUUACCAAGGCAACGAUGCGUAGCCGACCUGAGAGGGGGAUCGGCCACACUGGAACUGAGACACGGUCCAGACUCCGACGGGAGGCAGCAGUAGGGAAUCUUCCGCAAUGGGCGAAAGCAUGACGGAGCAACGCCGCGUGAGUGAUGAAGGUCUUCGGAUCGUAAAACUCUGUUAUUAGGGAAGAACAAAUGUGUAAGUAACUAUGCACGUCUUGACGGUACCUAAUCAGAAAGCCACGGCUAACUACGUG